Anaerosphaera aminiphila DSM 21120 is the source of this 98-nucleotide regulatory RNA element. It matches the Rfam family "pemK RNA". NCBI's taxonomy places the organism in Bacteria, Bacillati, Bacillota, Tissierellia, Tissierellales, Peptoniphilaceae. The record is from Rfam.
AUAAUGAUACUCCCCUAUAGCCACCGUCCGAGCGUUAAAAGCGUCGCAGGCAAUGGGUAGGGUUUCGGCAGACCGUCGAAAGGGUGAAAUUCCCGUGG